Molecule: non-coding RNA, 307 nt
Organism: Otolemur garnettii (small-eared galago)
Lineage: Eukaryota; Metazoa; Chordata; Mammalia; Primates; Galagidae
Source: Rfam
GCGAGGAGCAGUGGCAUGUGCCUGUAGUCCCAGCUACUCCGGAGGCUGAGACAGGAGGAUCGCUUCAGUCCAGGAGUUCUGGGCUGUAGUUCAGUAUGCCCAUCGGGUAUCCACACUAAGUUCAGCAUCAAUAUGGUGACCUCCAGGAGUGGGGUCCACCAGGUUGCCUAAGGAGGGGUGAAUCGGCCCAGGUGGGGUGAACCGACCCGGGGGCUGGUCAAAACUCCCGUGCUGAUCAGUAGUGGGAUCGUGCCUGUGAAUAGCCACUGCACUCCAGCCUGGGCAACAUAGUAAGACCCUGUCUCUC